AGUCCCAGCGUGGGGUGCAGCGGGGCCCCCACGGCCGACACCUACCAGGGCCCACGGGCAGGGCGCAGCAACUCCACGCCCUGCAGCCCCGCACCGGGACGCCCGGGCCGGGUGCCCACCAGCCCCUCGCGCCCAAAGCCGCGCGCGGCCCCCCGCCCGGACCAGAUUAGGCUCUGCCACGGACGGAGUAUCAACUGCCAGAGAGGAAAAAAAAAUCUGAAGUUGGAAGGUACACGCUGCCCUUCACUUUCACAGUGAACACCAGUUUCAACAAUUCCCGAUUUCGCUACGCUUAGCGCCGGGCGAGUGGGCUCCAACACUCUAACCCCAAGAAGCGGGGCGCGUCUGUCGCGUGGGAACGAGACGGGAGAAACCACACAUUUCGAUAAUCUCUGAGAAGCACAAUCACAUCACUCCUUGGCUUCCCCUUCUGCAGGUUUCGCCUUGAAUCCGAAAGCACCUCUGAUGCUCAUUCUUUACAGGAGGACACUCAGAGGAGACUGCUGCGUGCCAACCUAGCUGCACAGACUCGGAAAAAAGCGUGUCCACGUCUACAGCUCACAACUGCAAAUUCGGAGCCUGCGGAUGCGCGGGGAUGGUCGGACUUAACAGUGUGCAGACACAUGGGCGCAUGCACGCGCGCGCGCGUACACACUCACACCCCAAAUUACCUCCGGGAUGGAGAAAGCCGCUGCGGAUUGGCCAGGAAAGCCGUCACUCACACCCAGGGGGCAGGGAGACUUUGCAAGGCUGUUUCCUUUUUAUCCCCCCCUCCCUACCGUUUCAUUUAUUGGUAAAACAACAGCAGAGCUCUGAAAGUUAGCCAUCUUCGCCGAGAGUUUGCCUUCUUUAACUACGGGGGCGUCAGACAAUAUCCAUUUAAAUAUAUUUUAUACUUCCACAAUGGAUGAAAGGGAAAAUUAGCAAUCGGGGUGGGGGCGGAGAGGAAGCUAGCUGUGAAAAGGAGGGGUCAUGGGUUGGGGGGCGGGUAGUGGACGCGGGGUGAAGUUGUCCUCAACACCCAAAAGGGACUUUGACCUUUCACUGAUCUCGAAAUUAAAAAAUGUUCUUCACAGGU
Molecule: long non-coding RNA, 1078 nt
Filed under: Bos taurus (domestic cattle)
Lineage: Eukaryota; Metazoa; Chordata; Mammalia; Artiodactyla; Bovidae
Description: long non-coding RNA NONBTAT014827
Source: RNAcentral